Molecule: long non-coding RNA, 322 nt
Filed under: Elaeis guineensis (African oil palm)
Lineage: Eukaryota; Viridiplantae; Streptophyta; Magnoliopsida; Arecales; Arecaceae
Description: long non-coding RNA (EGUI_LNC067585)
Source: RNAcentral
AACCUGAACCUACUGAAGUCAAUAUACACAGAAAGGAUCCAAAUGGCUAGAGACCAAGGGAACAUGCAAUCAAACCCAAUAGCCUCACUGCAAAUAGCCAAUGACACUGUAGGUCAAAGGACCAUCAUACCACUGCAGCAUCAAGAAGAUCACUGAUGAGUGAGUAGACAUCCAUGUGGUUCUCGUAUUGGUCACGCUCAGUGCAAGUCAUUCUCUAACAACCAUCCGCAUCUUCACCCUAGUGUUCCUACAUUGUAGACCUGAGACUCAUCUGUCCACAAGGAAGGUGAACCGUACAUCGAUCUUAAAUGGAUUGAUCACU